This 253-nucleotide ribosomal RNA is filed under the name uncultured bacterium. RNAcentral describes it as "partial 16S ribosomal RNA". It matches the Rfam family "Bacterial small subunit ribosomal RNA", at positions 524 to 776 of the family's 1533-position model. The record is from RNAcentral.
UACGGAGGGGGCUAGCGUUGUUCGGAAUCACUGGGCGUAAAGCGCACGUAGGCGGCCACUCAAGUCAGAGGUGAAAGCCUGGGGCUCAACCUCAGAAUUGCCUUUGAAACUAGGUGGCUUGAAGAUGGGAGAGGUAAGUGGAAUUCCGAGUGUAGAGGUGAAAUUCGUAGAUAUUCGGAAGAACACCAGUGGCGAAGGCGGCUUACUGGACCAUUCUUGACGCUGAGGUGCGAAAGCGUGGGGAGCAAACAGG